Molecule: ribosomal RNA, 334 nt
Filed under: Pseudomonas sp. LS29
Lineage: Bacteria; Pseudomonadati; Pseudomonadota; Gammaproteobacteria; Pseudomonadales; Pseudomonadaceae
Description: bacterial SSU rRNA
Rfam family: Bacterial small subunit ribosomal RNA
Source: RNAcentral
UGCAAGUCGAGCGGUAGAGAGAAGCUUGCUUCUCUUGAGAGCGGCGGACGGGUGAGUAAUGCCUAGGAAUCUGCCUGGUAGUGGGGGAUAACGUUCGGAAACGGACGCUAAUACCGCAUACGUCCUACGGGAGAAAGCAGGGGACCUUCGGGCCUUGCGCUAUCAGAUGAGCCUAGGUCGGAUUAGCUAGUUGGUGGGGUAAUGGCUCACCAAGGCGACGAUCCGUAACUGGUCUGAGAGGAUGAUCAGUCACACUGGAACUGAGACACGGUCCAGACUCCUACGGGAGGCAGCAGUGGGGAAUAUUGGACAAUGGGCGAAAGCCUGAUCCAGC